Non-coding RNA from Alishewanella agri BL06, 55 nucleotides. The record is from Rfam. NCBI's taxonomy places the organism in Bacteria, Pseudomonadati, Pseudomonadota, Gammaproteobacteria, Alteromonadales, Alteromonadaceae.
CGUAUGGUGUCUGGCGAUAAAAAUGCGACCAGAUAGCGAUGCGGCCUAACGAGGU